AAUUGGUGGUGUAGGGGUAAAAUCCGUAGAUAUCACCAAGAAUACCCAUUGCGAAGGCGAUCUGCUGGAACUCAACUGACGCUAAGGCGCGAAAGCGUGGGGAGCAAACAGGAUUAGAUACCCUGGUAGUCCACGCCCUAAACGAUGUACACUAGUUGUUGGGGUGCUAGUCAUCUCAGUAAUGCAGCUAACGCAUUAAGUGUACCGCCUGGGGAGUACGGUCGCAAGAUUAAAACUCAAAGGAAUAGACGGGGACCCGCACAAGCGGUGGAGCAUGUGGUUUAAUUCGAAGAUACGCGAAGAACCUUACCUGGGCUUGAUAUCCUAAGAACCUCUUAGAGAUAAGAGGGUGCUAGCUUGCUAGAACUUAGAGACAGGUGCUGCACGGCUGUCGUCAGCUCGUGUCGUGAGAUGUUGGGUUAAGUCCCGCAACGAGCGCAACCCACGUAUUUAGUUGCUAACGGUUCGGCCGAGCACUCUAAAUAGACUGCCUUCGUAAGGAGGAGGAAGGUGUGGACGACGUCAAGUCAUCAUGGCCCUUAUGCCCAGGGCGACACACGUGCUACAAUGGCAUAUACAAUGAGACGCAAUACCGCGAGGUGGAGCAAAUCUAUAAAAUAUGUCCCAGUUCGGAUUGUUCUCUGCAACUCGAGAGCAUGAAGCCGGAAUCGCUAGUAAUCGUAGAUCAGCCAUGCUACGGUGAAUACGUUCCCGGGUCUUGUACUCACCGCCCGUCACACCAUGGGAGUUGAUUUCACUCGAAGCCGGAAUACUAAACUAGUUACCGUCCACAGUGGAAUCAGCGACUGGGGUGAAGUCGUAACAAGGUAACCGUAGGAGAACCUGCGGUUGGAUCACCUCCUUUCUA
RNAcentral lists this ribosomal RNA (868 nucleotides) under Campylobacter coli. RNAcentral describes it as "bacterial SSU rRNA". It matches the Rfam family "Bacterial small subunit ribosomal RNA", at positions 665 to 1533 of the family's 1533-position model. RNAcentral also lists the same sequence under 1 other name. The record is from RNAcentral. Lineage: Bacteria; Pseudomonadati; Campylobacterota; Epsilonproteobacteria; Campylobacterales; Campylobacteraceae.